Molecule: ribosomal RNA, 908 nt
Filed under: Bipolaris incurvata
Lineage: Eukaryota; Fungi; Ascomycota; Dothideomycetes; Pleosporales; Pleosporaceae
Also listed under: 1 other name
Description: LSU rRNA
Rfam family: Eukaryotic large subunit ribosomal RNA
Source: RNAcentral
UAGCAUAUCAAUAAGCGGAGGAAAAGAAACCAACAGGGAUUGCCCUAGUAACGGCGAGUGAAGCGGCAACAGCUCAAAUUUGAAAUCUGGCUCUUUCAGAGUCCGAGUUGUAAUUUGCAGAGGGCGCUUUGGCUUUGGCAGCGGUCCAAGUUCCUUGGAACAGGACGUCACAGAGGGUGAGAAUCCCGUACGUGGUCGCUAGCUAUUGCCGUGUAAAGCCCCUUCGACGAGUCGAGUUGUUUGGGAAUGCAGCUCUAAAUGGGAGGUAAAUUUCUUCUAAAGCUAAAUAUUGGCCAGAGACCGAUAGCGCACAAGUAGAGUGAUCGAAAGAUGAAAAGCACUUUGGAAAGAGAGUCAAACAGCACGUGAAAUUGUUGAAAGGGAAGCGCUUGCAGCCAGACUUGCUUGCAGUUGCUCAUCCGGGCUUUUGCCCGGUGCACUCUUCUGUAGGCAGGCCAGCAUCAGUUUGGGCGGUGGGAUAAAGGUCUCUGUCACGUACCUCUCUUCGGGGAGGCCUUAUAGGGGAGACGACAUACCACCAGCCUAGACUGAGGUCCGCGCAUCUGCUAGGAUGCUGGCGUAAUGGCUGUAAGCGGCCCGUCUUGAAACACGGACCAAGGAGUCUAACAUCUAUGCGAGUGUUUGGGUGUCAAGCCCGAGCGCGUAAUGAAAGUGAACGGAGGUGGGAACCCGCAAGGGUGCACCAUCGACCGAUCCUGAAGUUUACGGAAGGAUUUGAGUAAGAGCAUGGCUGUUGGGACCCGAAAGAUGGUGAACUAUGCUUGAAUAGGGUGAAGCCAGAGGAAACUCUGGUGGAGGCUCGCAGCGGUUCUGACGUGCAAAUCGAUCGUCAAAUUUGGGCAUAGGGGCGAAAGACUAAUCGAACUAUCUAGUAGCUGGUUCCUGCC